AAGUGGAGCAAUCCAUGAGUAUAGUGGCGACCGGGUGAGUAACACGUGACUACCUGCCCUUGAGUGGGGGAUAACCUCGGGAAACCGAGGCUAAUACCGCAUAAUAUCGCAAGGUCAAAGGAGCAAUCCGCUUUUGGAGGGGGUCGCGGCUGAUUAGUUAGUUGGUAGGGUAAUGGCCUACCAAGGCGAAGAUCGGUAUCCGGCCUGAGAGGGCGCACGGACACACUGGAACUGAAACACGGUCCAGACUCCUACGGGAGGCAGCAGUGGGGAAUUUUGCGCAAUGGGGGAAACCCUGACGCAGCAACGCCGCGUGGAGGAUGAAGCCCCUUGGG
RNAcentral lists this ribosomal RNA (335 nucleotides) under uncultured bacterium. RNAcentral's name for it is "bacterial SSU rRNA". It matches the Rfam family "Bacterial small subunit ribosomal RNA", at positions 72 to 422 of the family's 1533-position model. The record is from RNAcentral.